AAGUCGUAACAAGGUUUCCGUAGGUGAACCUGCGGAAGGAUCAUUAUUGGAUUCAGAAGCUUACACUGUGAACUGUCGCCGCGAGGCGCAUAUAUACACCGUCAUGAAUGUCAUUAAACAAACAAAACAACUUUCAGCAACGGAUCUCUUGGCUCUC
RNAcentral lists this unclassified non-coding RNA (157 nucleotides) under air metagenome. RNAcentral describes it as "partial contains small subunit ribosomal RNA, internal transcribed spacer 1, and 5.8S ribosomal RNA". The stretch from base 1 to 46 matches the Rfam family "Eukaryotic small subunit ribosomal RNA", at positions 1786 to 1831 of the family's 1831-position model. The record is from RNAcentral.